Long non-coding RNA from Cydia pomonella (codling moth), 1559 nucleotides. RefSeq lists it as uncharacterized. The record is from RefSeq and is a predicted model, not a curated record. The transcript has 3 exons. NCBI's taxonomy places the organism in Eukaryota, Metazoa, Arthropoda, Insecta, Lepidoptera, Tortricidae.
GGGGGGACACUUUUUACCACUUUGGAAGUGUCUCUCGCGCAAACUAUUCAGUUUGGAAAAAAAUGAUAUUAGAAACCUCAAUAUCAUUUUUAAAGACCUAUCCAUAGAUACCCCACACGUAUGGGUUUGAUGAAAAAAGAUUUUUUGAGUUUCAGUUCUAAGUAUGGGGAACCCCCAAAAUUUUGUUUUAUUUUUUAUUUUUGUGUAAACAUCAUAAUGCGGUUCAUAGAAUACAUCUACUUACCAAGUUUGAACAGUAUAGCUUUUAUAGUUUCGGAAAAAAGUGGCUGUGACAGAAUCGGACAGACAGACGGACAUGACGAAUCUAUAAGGGUUCCGUUUUUUGCCAUUUGGCUACGGAACCCUAAAAAGGAAACAUGAAACAACUAAACUGGGAAACAAUUUUACCUAUUUUGAUAUAUAUUUUUUUGUAGGUGUGUAUUCAUUUUGUGACCUAAAAUCACAGUCUAUGUUUCAGAGGUUACGUCGUUCCGUCCAAGUUGCUAGCGUCAGCGGUCUUCAAAUGACUAAGAGCACGCUGUAGAUGAUACAAUGUCAAAUACUUAAGAAAAUCAGAAACAUAGAAAGCAGAGUACUUACUUAUAAUCUUAUAAACAUGGGAAACUCACAAUCCAGUUCCAGCUAGGAAAUGUUUUAUUCGUGUUGAUAACAUCUCACUGGCCCUAAUUCGCGAGGCCGAAAUACGGGCCACACACGACCUUCCCUAGGACUUGGGGCCUUAAACUGACAACACCUAAGACUUAUUAUGUCAAUAACGGUAAUUACAUAAGUUCGACCAUCCUGCUGCUAUAUCAUCAUAUUUAGGUACCAAAUAGGUACUUACAUUUUCUUAUUACUCCGGUGUCUAACGUUACUCGAAUAUAAAGAACACUUAUACUUCUCAUUGUAUUACUUACUUAUGGGAUACUUACUUAUUACACCGAAGUGUGCGUAGUGGAUGCUCCCGACACUUUCGCCUCGCUGGCUCGCACCCGCAACUCAUAGAUUUUUGCGGCCUUUUAACCGACAGCAAUUACCUAUACCGAUUUUUCAGAGUAUUUCGCCAUUCUUGCUUAGCAAAAAACACAUACCUAAUAAUGCCUAUUUAUUUGUAUUUUGUAUAAUUCCCAUUUGAUAGUUUCCUGUGAUAAAUAUUGAGAAUGCAUGCAUACCCUGUUCCUCGGGCUGUUUACUACCCAGGGUAUUGAGGUAUAGUACUAGAGUCACAUGUAACGAAAAUUAAAAAAAUAAUAAAAAUGAAAAAUUGGAAACAAAAUCCCACUAGUUGCCACCAACUUGGUUUAGUGGUAACUACUGGGAAUGUUAUUCCCAGUAAAGUAAGAUUUUUUUACCAAAAUUUUGUUAAGUUCAAUAUUACUAAAAACAGUAGGUAUAUUACCUACAAUGCGCUUAUGAACGUCAAAUAAAGCUACACUGGCUCUAACCCUACAUCUCUGACCCGAGAAGAUUUAAAUCCCCCACUCCCCCAUAGACAGAGAGAGAGAUAGAGUUGUUUAAUCAAUAAUUUAUUAAAAGUUGAAUUAAAUAUAAGAACAAAC